GAUCCUGGCUCAGGAUGAACGCUGGCGGCGUGCCUAACACAUGCAAGUCGAGCGAUUCUCUUCGGAGAAGAGCGGCGGACGGGUGAGUAACGCGUGGGUAACCUGCCCUGUACACACGGAUAACAUACCGAAAGGUAUGCUAAUACGAGAUAAUAUGCUUUUAUCGCAUGGUAGAAGUAUCAAAGCUUUUGCGGUACAGGAUGGACCCGCGUCUGAUUAGCUAGUUGGUGAGGUAACGGCUCACCAAGGCGACGAUCAGUAGCCGACCUGAGAGGGUGAUCGGCCACAUUGGAACUGAGACACGGUCCAAACUCCUACGGGAGGCAGCAGUGGGGAAUAUUGCACAAUGGGCGAAAGCCUGAUGCAGCAACGCCGCGUGAGCGAUGAAGGCCUUCGGGUCGUAAAGCUCUGUCCUCAAGGAAGAUAAUGACGGUACUUGAGGAGGAAGCCCCGGCUAACUACGUGCCAGCAGCCCGCGGUAAUACGUAGGGGGCUAGCGUUAUCCGGRAWUUACUGGGCGUAAAGGGUGCGUAGGUGGUUUUCUUAAAGUCAGAGGUGAAAGGCUACGACUCAACCGUAGUAAGCCUUUGAAACUGGGAAACUUGAGUGCAGGAGAGGAGAGUGGAAUUCCUAGUGUAGCGGUGAAAUGCGUAGAUAUUAGGAGGAACACCAGUUGCGAAGGCGGCUCUCUGGACUGUAACUGACACUGAGGCACGAAAGCGUGGGGAGCAAACAGGAUUAGAUACCCUGGUAGUCCACGCCGUAAACGAUGAGUACUAGCUGUCGGAGGUUACCCCCUUCGGUGGCGCAGCUAACG
This 817-nucleotide ribosomal RNA is filed under the name uncultured bacterium. RNAcentral describes it as "bacterial SSU rRNA". It matches the Rfam family "Bacterial small subunit ribosomal RNA", at positions 15 to 857 of the family's 1533-position model. The record is from RNAcentral.